CUUCCCCAGCCGCAUAAGGCGCCGCGCUACCGCGGCGCUUAAAACACGAAAUACAGCUUCCCGCAGCGCUUAAUCAUCCCGCGCGGUGCCUCAAUUAUUAGCGCAGCGUCUUAAAUCAGUAAGCGAUUUCAUCCCUGUGAGAUACCUCAGGUAAAUAUCGAUCGGGGAAGUUUAUGAAUACACAGUGUAGCUAGCUGUUUACCGUGUACUGAUAAGGGUUUAACGACGACACGUGUUGAUGAAAGUCUGUGUUUUCACAAGUUAACUGGAGCAGGAGUGAUUGGAUUAUAAUUAGUUAAAGAUUAUAAUUAGUCUAUGCAACGAAAUGGGAUAACAGCUGGUGACGGCAUGCAUGGGCUCUUUUAUCACUCUUCUCCCUUGAAGAAGACCUGGCGGUUAUUGAAUGGGCACAGGCGAAUCUUAGCCACCCUUACCACAGAUGAACACUUUGAGCACCAUGGAGUGGAUUGUUGGUAAUCUGUCCGAGUCUCACCCAAACCUGAGCAAAGUCGCUACAGUGGGACUGCUUCUACCAACCUCCACAGCUGAUUGUGAGAGAGGUUUCAGCAGUUGAAUGUGUAAAGACCACCCACCAUUCACCGGUGAGCAUGAAAGUGCUUAAUGCCUUACUCAUGGUGUCCAUGCAGUGACAAAAACUGAAUGACUUAAAUUUCAGUGGUGCAGUAAAGGAAUGGCACAGAGCCAAAGACAGACACUUACUGGUAUAUGAAAACAAAAAUGCCUAUGUGUUGUUAGUGUUAGUACAAAGACAAAGAAGUGGAAGGACAUAUGUGUUGUUCGAAAAUACAUAUAAAAGAAGUGGACAUCUGUCAUGUCUGUGUAGUGUAUAUGAUAUAUUGAUGGUUAUAUGAUUAUGAAAAAAAGUAGAAGUAAUGAAA
Long non-coding RNA from Mercenaria mercenaria, 899 nucleotides. RefSeq lists it as uncharacterized. NCBI's taxonomy places the organism in Eukaryota, Metazoa, Mollusca, Bivalvia, Venerida, Veneridae. The transcript is spliced from 3 exons. The record is from RefSeq and is a predicted model, not a curated record.